CCCUUAGAUGUUCUGGGCCGCACGCGCGCUACACUGACAGAGCCAACGAGUUCUUCACCUUGGCCGGAAGGUCUGGGUAAUCUUGUUAAACUCUGUCGUGCUGGGGAUAGAGCAUUGCAAUUAUUGCUCUUCAACGAGGAAUGCCUAGUAAGCGCGUGUCAUCAGCACGCGUUGAUUACGUCCCUGCCCUUUGUACACACCGCCCGUCGCUACUACCGAUUGAAUGGCUCAGUGAGGCCUUCGGACUGGCUCAGGGAGGUUGGCAACGACCACCCCGAGCCGGAAAGUUCGUCAAACUCGGUCAUUUAGAGGAAGUAAUAGUCGUAACA
This 329-nucleotide ribosomal RNA is filed under the name uncultured eukaryote. RNAcentral's name for it is "partial 18S ribosomal RNA". It matches the Rfam family "Eukaryotic small subunit ribosomal RNA", at positions 1470 to 1796 of the family's 1831-position model. The record is from RNAcentral.